Non-coding RNA from Pangasianodon gigas (Mekong giant catfish), 70 nucleotides. The record is from the annotation of a GenBank genome assembly. Lineage: Eukaryota; Metazoa; Chordata; Actinopteri; Siluriformes; Pangasiidae.
UUACUGGUAGUCUAGUGGCUAGCAUGUAGCGCUCUCACUGCCGUGGCCCGGGUUCGAUUCAGUCACUAAA